RNAcentral lists this microRNA precursor (84 nucleotides) under Bombyx mori (domestic silkworm). Its description in RNAcentral is "mir-2807 microRNA precursor family". It matches the Rfam family "mir-2807 microRNA precursor family". The record is from Rfam by way of RNAcentral. Lineage: Eukaryota; Metazoa; Arthropoda; Insecta; Lepidoptera; Bombycidae.
UUAACUCAAAUUUGUAUAUAGUUGGAACAGCGCCCCUAGCGGCAAACGUAGGCAAACGUUCCAAUUUCAUACAAAUUUGAGUUA